Long non-coding RNA from Homo sapiens (human), 728 nucleotides. The record is from Ensembl. Lineage: Eukaryota; Metazoa; Chordata; Mammalia; Primates; Hominidae.
CAAGUACUCAAUAUUUGGCUUUACAUUUCAGCUACUGGCCUUCAACACCACGGAGAGAGGUGUUUUCCUGGUUUUUCAGAGCUGAGAAGUGAGCUGUCUUCCAACUCACCUGCAUAGGUGGAAGUCUUCCCAGAUGCUGUGCUUGAAUCUCUAAUUUGAUAUAUUUACAAGACUUGCAGAGGCUGUGAGCUGUGUGAAUACAUUGCACAUAAGAACUACAGAUGUUUUAAAGCCUUCUGUGAAAGUGAUUCUGAAGGUGUGGUCCCUGGGCCAGCAGCAUCAACAUCACCUGGAACUUGUGAGAAAUGAAGAUUCUCAGGCUCUUCUCUAUACCUACUGAAUCAGACAUUGGGUGCAAAGGGGAACACUACAGUCUGUCUUUAAGGAGCCCUCAAGAAUUAGGAGCCUCCCAAGCUGAGACAGAUCUCAGCUACUGGCUGUAUGGAGUUGGAUGAGCUUCUUACCUGACCCCUGGGCUUCAGUUUUUCAUCUGCAAGAUGAAGUUUACCAGAGAAUGGGACAAACAGGAGAGAAGUUCCUCUGCUUUUAUGCCAGAUAAUCUUAGAUGAAUGUAUGAUGAUUUUACAAGGUGCACGGAAAGGACUGUAUUGAAUUACAUCAUGAGAAAGUUAUUCCCUUCUGAUCAACUCUCUUUCCCCAGUUUCUACAUUGAGGCAAAGUCUCAGUUUAAUGCUGGAAUAUUAUAACACUUGCUAAUCUUUCUUUAA